AAUAUUGUUUCCUCACUACAGGGAACCAAUGCUCUCUAUUAGCAGAGCCAAGCAAAAUUUCUGAAAAUUGUUAUUGUAAUGUUUACAUAAUGAGAUCAUAUUUUUUCCCUUAUGAAGUACAGGUGCAAAAUCUAAACACUCUGGUCCCAGAAGUACAACUUUCCAGCCAUUUCUUUCUGAAGUAGUCCUUGUGAACUUAACCAGCUAGCUAUUAAUGGGCUAUUUACAACCCUGCUAAAUCUUCUCUUUUUGCCUCUUACAAUCCUAUCAGUGCAAAAAAUCUCCAGCAACUCCAAACCUUUCUACACUUUAUUUAUCUUUUUCUCAUAUUCUAUUUUUCAAGAGGCAGUCAACCUACAGAAGAGCAUCUGCUGGACCCUGAGUGGGGAACAGACAGGCGGAACCCUUGCAAAUGUAAAAGCCAGGAGUGGGUCUGGCCCCAGAUGAAGAAAUUACCUGGUCUGGAGGACAAACAACCCACAGCCAGAUUUCCCUGCCAAAGCCUGCCUCAGGCUGUCCCCAGCACUUGCAGAUCUGCAGAUGUCUCUGAGAAAUGUUCAGGUAAAAUUAAAACAGCUUUCAGAGGCUAAAGAGGUAGUGAGGCUGGAAGACUGCUUGGUCUUCGAGGUGCACGCUGGUCCCUCUCCAAAGGGAAGCAUUAUCCACCA
Tympanuchus pallidicinctus (lesser prairie-chicken) is the source of this 668-nucleotide long non-coding RNA. RefSeq lists it as uncharacterized. The transcript is spliced from 3 exons. NCBI's taxonomy places the organism in Eukaryota, Metazoa, Chordata, Aves, Galliformes, Phasianidae. The record is from RefSeq and is a predicted model, not a curated record.